RNAcentral lists this ribosomal RNA (485 nucleotides) under uncultured Glomeromycotina. RNAcentral's name for it is "SSU rRNA". It matches the Rfam family "Eukaryotic small subunit ribosomal RNA", at positions 596 to 1081 of the family's 1831-position model. The record is from RNAcentral. Lineage: Eukaryota; Fungi; Glomeromycota.
AGCGUAUAUUAAAGUUGUUGCAGUUAAAAAGCUCGUAGUUGAAUUUCGGGAUCAAUACGUCGGUCGUGCUUUCGGGUACGUACUGGCGUCAUUGGUUUCUCCUUUCUGACGAACCAUGAUGUCAUUAAUUUGGUGUUAUGGGGAGUUAGGACUGUCACUUUGAAAAAAUUAGAGUGUUUAAAGCAGGCAUUAGCUUGAAUACAUUAGCAUGGAAUAAUGAAAUAGGACGUUCGAUCCUAUUUUGUUGGUUUCUAGGAUCAACGUAAUGAUUAAUAGGGAUAGUUGGGGGCAUUAGUAUUCGAUUGUCAGAGGUGAAAUUCUUGGAUUUAUUGAAGACUAACUACUGCGAAAGCAUUUGCCAAGGAUGUUUUCAUUAAUCAAGAACGAAAGUUAGGGGAUCGAAGACGAUCAGAUACCGUCGUAGUCUUAACCAUAAACUAUGCCGACUAGGGAUCGGAUGAUGUUAAUUUUUUAAUGACUCAUUC